RNAcentral lists this transfer RNA (72 nucleotides) under Camelus ferus (Wild Bactrian camel). It matches the Rfam family "tRNA". From Rfam's summary of the family: Transfer RNA (tRNA) molecules are approximately 80 nucleotides in length. Their secondary structure includes four short double-helical elements and three loops (D, anti-codon, and T loops). Lineage: Eukaryota; Metazoa; Chordata; Mammalia; Artiodactyla; Camelidae. The record is from Rfam by way of RNAcentral.
GAGGGUACAGCUCAGUGGUAGAGUGCAUGCCUUGCAUGCACAAGUUCCUGGGUUCAACCCCCAGUACCUGCA